CUCAAAGAUUAAGCCAUGCAUGUCUAUGCACAAGCCGAUUAAUGGUGAAGCCGCGAAUGGCUCAUUACAACAGCCACUGUUUACUUGAUCUUGACUAUCCUACUUGGAUAACUGCGGUAAUUCUAGAGCUAAUACACGCAAACAAGCUCCGACCUUACGGGACGAGCGCAUUUAUUAGACCAAAACCAAUCGGGCUUCGGCCUGAGACGUUGGUGACUCUGAAUAACUGAGCUGAUCGCAUGGUCUUUGUACCGGCGACGUAUCUUUCAAGUGUCUGCCUUAUCAACUUUCGAUGGUAGUUUAUGUGCCUACCAUGGUUGUUACGGGUAACGGAGAAUAAGGGUUCGACUCCGGAGAGGGAGCCUGAGAAACGGCUACCACAUCCAAGGAAGGCAGCAGGCGCGCAAAUUACCCACUCUCGGCACGAGGAGGUAGUGACGAAAAAUAACGAGGCGGUUCUCUAUGAGGCCCGCUAUCGGAAUGAGAAAAAUUUAAACCCUUUAACGAGGACCUAUGAGAGGGCAAGUCUGGUGCCAGCAGCCGCGGUAAUUCCAGCUCUCAAGGUGUAUAUCGCCAUUGCUGCGGUUAAAAAGCUCGUAGUUGGAUCUGCGCCUUCGGACUCGGUCCGCCCAACGGGUGUGAACUGGGAUCCAAGGCUUAUACUGCUGGUUUUCUCUUGAUGCUCUUUACUGGGUGUCUUGAGUGGCUAGCGAGUUUACUUUGAAAAAAUUAGAGUGCUCAAAACAGGCUAACGCCUGAAUACUCGUGCAUGGAAUAAUAGAAUAAGACCACGGUUCUAUUUUAUUGGUUUUCGGAACUGUGAUAAUGGUUAAGAGGGACAGACGGGGGCAUUCGUAUCGCUGCGUGAGAGGUGAAAUUCUUGGACCGCAGCGAGACGCCCUACUGCGAAAGCAUUUGCCAAGAAUGUCUUCGUUAAUCAAGAACGAAAGUCAGAGGUUCGAAGGCGAUCAGAUACCGCCCUAGUUCUAACCGUAAA
This 997-nucleotide ribosomal RNA is filed under the name Wilsonema otophorum. RNAcentral describes it as "SSU rRNA". It matches the Rfam family "Eukaryotic small subunit ribosomal RNA", at positions 36 to 1036 of the family's 1831-position model. Lineage: Eukaryota; Metazoa; Nematoda; Chromadorea; Plectida; Plectidae. The record is from RNAcentral.